Molecule: ribosomal RNA, 238 nt
Filed under: uncultured prokaryote
Description: partial 16S ribosomal RNA
Rfam family: Bacterial small subunit ribosomal RNA
Source: RNAcentral
AGGACGAACGCUGGCGGCGUGCCUAACACAUGCAGGUCGAACGGUAACAGGCCCUUCGGGUGGCUGACGAGUGGCGGACGGGUGAGUAAUGCGUAGGAAUCUACCCACGAGUGGGGGAGUAGCCCGGAGAAAUCCGGAUUAAUACCGCAUAUGCCUACCGGGUAAAGACGGGGAGUCGUAAGACCUCGCGCUGGUGGAGUGAGCCUACGUCCGAUUAGUUAGUUGGUGGGGUAAAGGG